CUUUGCUGACGAGUGGCGGACGGGUGAGUAAUGUCUGGGAAACUGCCUGAUGGAGGGGGAUAACUACUGGAAACGGUAGCUAAUACCGCAUAACGUCGCAAGACCAAAGAGGGGGACCUUCGGGCCUCUUGCCAUCGGAUGUGCCCAGAUGGGAUUAGCUUGUUGGUGGGGUAACGGCUCACCAAGGCGACGAUCCCUAGCUGGUCUGAGAGGAUGACCAGCCACACUGGAACUGAGACACGGUCCAGACUCCUACGGGAGGCAGCAGUGGGGAAUAUUGCACAAUGGGCGCAAGCCUGAUGCAGCCAUGCCGCGUGUAUGAAGAAGGCCUUCGGGUUGUAAAGUACUUUCAGCGGGGAGGAAGGGAGUAAAGUUAAUACCUUUGCUCAUUGACGUUACCCGCAGAAGAAGCACCGGCUAACUCCGUGCCAGCAGCCGCGGUAAUACGGAGGGUGCAAGCGUUAAUCGGAAUUACUGGGCGUAAAGCGCACGCAGGCGGUUUGUUAAGUCAGAUGUGAAAUCCCCGGGCUCAACCUGGGAACUGCAUCUGAUACUGGCAAGCUUGAGUCUCGUAGAGGGGGGUAGAAUUCC
This 591-nucleotide ribosomal RNA is filed under the name Escherichia coli. RNAcentral describes it as "bacterial SSU rRNA". It matches the Rfam family "Bacterial small subunit ribosomal RNA", at positions 83 to 670 of the family's 1533-position model. Lineage: Bacteria; Pseudomonadati; Pseudomonadota; Gammaproteobacteria; Enterobacterales; Enterobacteriaceae. The record is from RNAcentral.